This 498-nucleotide ribosomal RNA is filed under the name Staphylococcus haemolyticus. Its description in RNAcentral is "bacterial SSU rRNA". It matches the Rfam family "Bacterial small subunit ribosomal RNA", at positions 49 to 528 of the family's 1533-position model. Lineage: Bacteria; Bacillati; Bacillota; Bacilli; Caryophanales; Staphylococcaceae. The record is from RNAcentral.
CUAUACAUGCAGUCGAGCGAACAGACAAGGAGCUUGCUCCUUUGACGUUAGCGGCGGACGGGUGAGUAACACGUGGGUAACCUACCUAUAAGACUGGGAUAACUUCGGGAAACCGGAGCUAAUACCGGAUAAUAUUUCGAACCGCAUGGUUCGAUAGUGAAAGAUGGUUUUGCUAUCACUUAUAGAUGGACCCGCGCCGUAUUAGCUAGUUGGUAAGGUAACGGCUUACCAAGGCGACGAUACGUAGCCGACCUGAGAGGGUGAUCGGCCACACUGGAACUGAGACACGGUCCAGACUCCUACGGGAGGCAGCAGUAGGGAAUCUUCCGCAAUGGGCGAAAGCCUGACGGAGCAACGCCGCGUGAGUGAUGAAGGUCUUCGGAUCGUAAAACUCUGUUAUUAGGGAAGAACAUACGUGUAAGUAACUAUGCACGUCUUGACGGUACCUAAUCAGAAAGCCACGGCUAACUACGUGCCAGCAGCNGNCCGGUAAUAAAA